Perognathus longimembris pacificus (Pacific pocket mouse) is the source of this 209-nucleotide long non-coding RNA. RefSeq lists it as uncharacterized. NCBI's taxonomy places the organism in Eukaryota, Metazoa, Chordata, Mammalia, Rodentia, Heteromyidae. The record is from RefSeq and is a predicted model, not a curated record. The transcript has 3 exons.
AUUGGAGAAGUCUCUUCCACCUAACAUGAUAUGAGAACUUCUAAUGAACAACUCACUACUUUGAGGUGGAUUCUGAGGAUCCAUUCUGAGGACAGGUGUAUGAAUGGGUAGAGUCACUGUAUCUUCAAGGAACUCAUAGGACUGUGAAGCCAAAACACUCUUGGAUAACUGUUGAGGAAUGUCUGCCCUGCUUCUCCUUUCUCUGCUUU